CGCGACCCCUCACGUGGCGUCAUCUCGCUGAACUCCCCCAGGGCAGGAAUGCAGCAAGGGCAGGCGGGCUCUGUCGGGUGCGUGGGGGGUCCUUUCA
RNAcentral lists this signal recognition particle RNA (97 nucleotides) under Demequina muriae. RNAcentral describes it as "signal recognition particle sRNA small type". It matches the Rfam family "Bacterial small signal recognition particle RNA". From Rfam's summary of the family: The signal recognition particle (SRP) is a universally conserved ribonucleoprotein involved in the co-translational targeting of proteins to membranes. Archaeal SRP consists of a 7S RNA and homologues of the eukaryotic SRP19 and SRP54 proteins. The record is from RNAcentral. RNAcentral also lists the same sequence under 1 other name. Lineage: Bacteria; Bacillati; Actinomycetota; Actinomycetes; Micrococcales; Demequinaceae.